GCUCUCUCAGAGAUCCAGGUCCGGGAGAUGACAGUGGCUCCCAGAAAGCCCAGGAUUCAAUCGCUGAGAGAGUGCUUAGGCCCGAAUGCCGGCCCAAAUCGUUCUACUCACCGUGUCGGAGGCCGAGGCCGAGGCCGAGAGCGAUGAGAGUGCAGGGAAGUGGGGAAGAGGGGGUGGCCGCCAGGCUCCUCCGCUUCCCUGGGUCCACGGCGGAUCCCUCCCGCUUGUCAGGAGGCGGCCAGCGGGGGCAGGAGAGGAAGGGACGGGCCGAGCGGGUCGGGGCUUGCCGUUUGACUGGAAUUGCCAGAAUGGCGGACCGAGCCCCACGACAACCUACCUCCCUGGGCUCCUCGCCGCAGCGCUGCGGCUCGCCUCCCUCUGCUCCUCCUCCUCCGCCGGAUCGCGGCGAGCGGAUCGAGGACUGCCUAGCGCCCCUCUGCCCACCGGUGGUUGGAGGCCGCGGCGGCUGCGCGUUGAGUCGUUUCCUGCCGGUUGACCUGAGCCUACUUCGCAGUAGCAGGACCGCUGCUGUGGAGCUGGUCGCAGGCGGUGUGUGCCGGUCGCCUAGUCAGGAGAACUAGUCCUCGACUCACGGUGAGGGAAUGGACCGACACGGGUAUUGUACCGCUGAGGGAAAGGAGCGGGACUCCGGACCUCCAGGAGGUAGGGAGUGAGGCCAGUAGGACCGGCGCGCCUCCGGGGGGAUUCCUCCCGGGCGUUGAGUUGCCAACCUGGGACCCGAGGAAGAUCGGCGUGGUGGUGUGCUUUUUGUUGUUGUUAACCCUCCUCGGAUUUCUCGAAUUUCACACCACUGUCCAUAUGCGAUGAUGUUUGUUUGCCCUUGACGCACUUACUCAUGGAUGGUACUUCUUCAGCCUCGUUAGACAGCCUGGUGAUGGAGGAUGAAGAAA
RNAcentral lists this long non-coding RNA (911 nucleotides) under Homo sapiens (human). Its description in RNAcentral is "non-protein coding ASH1L-AS1:3". Lineage: Eukaryota; Metazoa; Chordata; Mammalia; Primates; Hominidae. The record is from RNAcentral.